This 434-nucleotide ribosomal RNA is filed under the name uncultured bacterium. RNAcentral's name for it is "bacterial SSU rRNA". It matches the Rfam family "Bacterial small subunit ribosomal RNA", at positions 957 to 1391 of the family's 1533-position model. The record is from RNAcentral.
GAACGCGAAGAACCUUACCUGGGCUUGACAUAUACAGGAUCGCUGCAGAGAUGUAGUUUCCCUUGUGGUCUGUAUACAGGUGGUGCAUGGUUGUCGUCAGCUCGUGUCGUGAGAUGUUGGGUUAAGUCCCGCAACGAGCGCAACCCUUGUCUUAUGCUGCCAGCACACUAUGGUGGGGACUCAUGAGAGACUGCCGGGGUUAACUCGGAGGAAGGUGGGGAUGACGUCAAAUCAUCAUGCCCCUUAUGUCCAGGGCUUCACACAUGCUACAAUGGUCGGUACAACGCGCUGCGAGCCUGUGAGGGUAAGCGAAUCGCUGAAAGCCGGCCUCAGUUCGGAUUGGGGUCUGCAACUCGACCCCAUGAAGUCGGAGUCGCUAGUAAUCGCAGAUCAGCAACGCUGCGGUGAAUACGUUCCCGGGUCUUGUACACACC